AGACCCGAAACCCGGUGAUCUAGCCAUGGGCAGGUUGAAGGUUGGGUAACACUAACUGGAGGACCGAACCGACUAAUGUUGAAAAAUUAGCGGAUGACCUGUGGCUGGGGGUGAAAGGCCAAUCAAACCGGGAGAUAGCUGGUUCUCCCCGAAAGCUAUUUAGGUAGCGCCUCGUGAAUUCAUCUCCGGGGGUAGAGCACUGUUUCGGCUAGGGGGCCAUCCCGGCUUACCAACCCGAUGCAAACUGCGAAUACCGGAGAAUGUUAUCACGGGAGACACACGGCGGGUGCUAACGUCCGUCGUGAAGAGGGAAACAACCCAGACCGCCAGCUAAGGUCCCAAAGUCAUGGUUAAGUGGGAAACGAUGUGGGAAGGCCCAGACAGCCAGGAUGUUGGCUUAGAAGCAGCCAUCAUUUAAAGAAAGCGUAAUAGCUCACUGGUCGAGUCGGCCUGCGCGGAAGAUGUAACGGGGCUAAACCAUGCACCGAAGCUGCGGCAGCGAACGUAUCACUUAAAGCGAUUCAGCGGGUUACGAUUGA
RNAcentral lists this ribosomal RNA (539 nucleotides) under Salmonella enterica subsp. enterica serovar Infantis. RNAcentral's name for it is "partial 23S ribosomal RNA". It matches the Rfam family "Bacterial large subunit ribosomal RNA", at positions 711 to 1224 of the family's 2925-position model. The record is from RNAcentral. Lineage: Bacteria; Pseudomonadati; Pseudomonadota; Gammaproteobacteria; Enterobacterales; Enterobacteriaceae. RNAcentral also lists the same sequence under 4 other names.